GAUGAACGCUGGCGGCGUGCCUAAUACAUGCAAGUCGAGCGAACAGACGAGGAGCUUGCUCCUCUUACGUUAGCGGCGGACGGGUGAGUACCACGUGGAUAACCUACCUAUAAGACUGGGAUAACUUCGGGAAACCGGAUCUAAUACCGGAUAAUAUAUUGAACCGCAGGGUUCAAUAGUGAAAGACGGUUUUGCUGUCACUAAUAGAUGGAUCCGCGCCGCAUUAGCUAGUGGGUAAGGUAACGGCGUACCAAGGCAACGAUGCGUAGCCGACCUGAGAGGAUGAUCAGCCACACUGGAACUGAGACACGGUCCAGACUCCUACGGGAGGCAGCAGUAGGGAAUCUUCCACAAUGGGCGAAAGCCUGACGGAGCCACGCCGCGUGAGUGAUGAAGGUCUUCGGAUCGUAAAGCUCUGUUAUUUGGGAAGAACAAAUGUGUGAGUAACUAUGCACGUCUUGACGGUACCUAAUGAGAAAGCCACGGCUAACUACGUG
Molecule: ribosomal RNA, 497 nt
Filed under: uncultured bacterium
Lineage: Bacteria
Description: partial 16S ribosomal RNA
Rfam family: Bacterial small subunit ribosomal RNA
Source: RNAcentral